RNAcentral lists this ribosomal RNA (500 nucleotides) under uncultured bacterium. RNAcentral's name for it is "partial 16S ribosomal RNA". It matches the Rfam family "Bacterial small subunit ribosomal RNA", at positions 30 to 523 of the family's 1533-position model. The record is from RNAcentral.
AUUGAACGCUAGCGGGAUGCCUUACACAUGCAAGUCGAACGGCAGCGCGGACUUCGGUCUGGCGGCGAGUGGCGAACGGGUGAGUAAUGUAUCGGAACGUGCCCAGUAGCGGGGGAUAACUACUCGAAAGAGUAGCUAAUACCGCAUACGCCCUACGGGGGGAAGGGGGGGAUCGCAAGACCUCUCACUAUUGGAGCGGCCGAUAUCGGAUUAGCUAGUUGGUGAGGUAAAGGCUCACCAAGGCGACGAUCCGUAGCUGGUUUGAGAGGACGACCAGCCACACGGGGGCUGAGGCACGGGCCAGAAUCCUACGGGAGGCAGCAGUGGGGAAUUUUUGACAAUGGGGGAAACCCUGAUCCAGCCAUUCCGCGUGUGUGAUGAAGGCCUUCGGGUUGUAAAGCACUUUUGGCAGGAAAGAAAUCGCAUCAAUUAAUACUUGGUGUGGAUGACGGUACCUGCAGAAUAAGCACCGGCUAACUACGUGCCAGCCGCCGCCGUAA